GGUCUUUUUUAGGUUGCAUUGAACAAAUCACCGGAUAACACAGCAGAUAAUUCUAACAGAGUAUUUUACAUUCAUGAAAGCAGCGUCAGCAGCACCUCAGCAGCACUCAGUCAACACAGGUUAAAUAGUAUUUGUGUAAUUCGUAUUGACAUCCAUCGUCCCAACAUAAGCGAAAGUCAUAGUAAAUACAGAUAUUUCCUCAUAUUGUCAAUAAUCACCCCAGCAUCAGCAGAAUUGAUAGUAAAUACUGGCAUUUCAUUAUAUUACCUUCCAUCAUCCCAUCAUCAGCAGGAGUCAUAAUUUAUACUGGACUGCCAUCCAUCGUCUUAGCAUCAGCAAAAUCAUAGUGAAUACAGGGGAGUAUUAUGUUUUUUUUUUUCAAAAUUUAUUUAU
Molecule: long non-coding RNA, 393 nt
Organism: Toxorhynchites rutilus septentrionalis
Lineage: Eukaryota; Metazoa; Arthropoda; Insecta; Diptera; Culicidae
Exons: 5
Source: RefSeq, a predicted model, not a curated record